Molecule: long non-coding RNA, 305 nt
Organism: Lingula anatina
Lineage: Eukaryota; Metazoa; Brachiopoda; Lingulata; Lingulida; Lingulidae
Source: RefSeq, a predicted model, not a curated record
UUCCAAACUGAAAAUUGGUGUUAUAGAUAGAGACGGUUCUUUGGCGGAUAGUGACAUGGUUGACUACCUUUGGACAUUCAUUAUCACAAAAGCUGCAGCAAGCGAAAGCUCGGCACCGUGGACCAGUCGAUUAAUUAAAGGAACCAGAAAAAGAGAACCCACGACAUUGCUUCUGGAGUUUGCCGUGUAUUGUGAUCCAGGUUGGAAAGGGGCUGACUGCAACGAGUGCGCAGUCAACCAUUGCAAAAAUGGAGGCACAUGUAGCUAUAAUUCUGCCAAGAGGCAAAAGCAUUGCACCUGCCCAG